RNAcentral lists this ribosomal RNA (484 nucleotides) under uncultured bacterium. Its description in RNAcentral is "partial 16S ribosomal RNA". It matches the Rfam family "Bacterial small subunit ribosomal RNA", at positions 30 to 507 of the family's 1533-position model. The record is from RNAcentral.
AUUGAACGCUGGCGGCAGGCCUAACACAUGCAAGUCGAGCGGAAGCAGGGAGUUUGCUCCUGGCUUCAGCGGCGCACGGGUGUGUUACGCCUAGGAAUCUGCCUGGUUGUGGGGGAUAACGUCCGGAAAUGGGCGCAAAUACCGCAUAAGCCCUGAGGGAGAGCGUGGGGGCUCUUCGCAACUCUUGCCAUCACACGAGUCGAGGUCAGAUUAGCUAGUUGGUGGGGUAAAGGCCUACCAAGGCGACGAUCCGUAACUGGUCUGAGAGGAUGAUCAGUCACACUGGGACUGAGACACGGUCCAGACUCCUACGGGAGGCAGCAGUGGGGAAUAUUGGACAAUGGGCGAAAGCCUGAUCCAGCCAUGCCGCGUGUGGGAAGAAGGUCUUCGGAUUGUAAAGCGCUUUAGGUUGGGAGGAAAAGCAGUAGGUUAAUACCUGGCGCUGAUGACGGUACCGUAAGAAUAAGCACCGGCUAACUACGUG